UUUGGUGCAAGGCUGCCGAAUCUGGUCAUUAGGGAAUGCAGCUGCAAAGAAUGCAAGACCAAGAAAAGAACACAAUGAAGCAUUAAUGUUUCAUAAUCAACAAUACAGGUAUCUAUAUUAUAGGAUCAUUAGAGUGUUGAGGUGAGAAAUAGAGAAGUUUGUUCUCCAAACAUACUAAUGUCUUGCAUUUUUCUCGAGCAAGGUUUUGUCAUGUAUGGUUAGUUCUAUUUUCUCCGUUCCCAUCAUUUUGCUUCCUAGAAGCAAUAGUUAUUUGUGUAAUCGAAUAAUUUCUAAAGAGACAAAAAAAAAGGAAAGGAAAGAACUAUUGCCGUCUUGUUUCCUAUCUCCGUCACUAUUGUUGCUUUUACCUUGAUGUGACUGGAGAGACAAGCGAACGGAGUAUGCAGAAGAGGGAAGAAACAAGAGACAGUCCACCACAUGAACACAAACUCCCACUAUGCCUUCCUCUACUCAGGCAGGUCCUCCACCCUUCUCUCUUCCCAUGUGAGGCUAUUUUCUCAUGCAAAAAAUUGCCCCAUCAUCAACAUGGGUCUCACCAUAUCACAGUGCCUCUCCUCCAUUGAGUCUCUCCAGUCCAUGCUUGGAAUCUGAUUUUUUCCCUCUCUAGUGUAGUAUAAAAACAGCGGGAAAAAAAAAGUCAAAACAGCAAAAAAAAAAAAUGAAAACAAAAAAGUCAAGGUAUAUAUAUCUCUUCUUCUCACAAGGACCCAAGUACCAAGGAUUUUAAUUUCCCCUAGACCUAUACAAAGUGGACAUAUCGAUCGGUACCACCUAUUCCUCUCCUUCCUUCCUCUUCCUCUUCUUUCUUCCUCCAAUGUCUCCAAUUCUUCCUUCUUCUUCCUUUGUUACCUCCUCUUCUUCCUUCUUUUUCCUGCUCUCUUUCACUAUCCUCCUCUUUCUUCACUUGUCCCCUUCUUCCUUUCCAUUCCAUCCUCCCUCCUCCUGUUCAUUCCUCUUCUCCAUGUUCUUUUUCCUCUUUGAGUCUUCACUAUCAUGCAUCAGUACAUCGGUAUUGGUUGGUACAUAUGCGUUCGGCUAAGGAUUGGUACACAUGGUCGAUACUAGACGACAAUUCAUGCUGUAGAUAUCACCCAACUCAAUCUCACAUCUCUCCACAAUAACAACAUAAAAAAGAAAGGAACGCCAAAAGAAAAAACAAAUAAAACAUCCUAUCACAUGCCACCUUUUGUAACAAUGUUGAUAUGGUGCAGGCAGUAUUUACAUACAAGGAGCAAACAAGUGCAGCCUGCACCAGGCUGAUAUGUCCCGACCAAAGUGUAAUUUUACCUAAAGGGUGAGACUACCCGGAUAGUCAGUGGUUAGCUGUUAGAAAGGUUAUGGGGGCUAUUAAAAGCCCCAAAGGCCCAAACAUCUGCCUUCACUCUCUCUCUCUCUCUCUCACUCCCUCACUUUCUUUUUCUCUCUAAUCUUUCUAAGAAUUCACUUAAUUCCCUCUUAACCCCCUUCGAUCGAUUUAUUUAAUUUCCAGUCCUACAAGGAUUAUUCUGAACCAAUGCUCAAUCAGAUCUCUGCAGCAGAGAACUUAUGUUAUCCUUUACUAGGUACCAGGUGGUGCAAAUAUUUAUGAUUUGUCAACAUACUGUAUCCGGUGGCACAAAUAUCUGUGAUUUUUUUUCCUUUAUUAUGUGUCCACAGAUUCCUUUUUAUUGUCACAAAAGAAAGCAAUGCUUUCCUUUUCUGGAUCUCAAUUACCAUGCUAGAAUAAAAACUCCAAUCACUUGCACAGAAAUGUUGAGUCUUUCAGAUCCAAAUAUAAGAGCAUCAACCAAAUGCUAGCUUAUACCACACCUUCUUGACUGCCUUAAAUCACCCUUCCACAAACAGACACUUAGAUAUGCAUUGGUUCAUAUUGACAGUAUCAAGUUGAUGUUGCCCAGAUAUGUCUUAGUUUAUACUUAAUAUUGGAAUUGUCCUCUGAGGAAAACUGAAGAAAUUUCACCAAAAUAAAAUAUUUUUUUGUCCACUUCUCUUUACAUCACCUCUGUGAAAAGUACCUAACAAUUAUCAAACAUAUACUGACACAAACUUCACUUGACGAUCAAAUUUCCAACUCGAUUCAGGAAGAUACAGGUUAUAGUAGACGAACCAACAACCACCACAAAAACCUAAAAGAGUUAUGGUAAGACAUUUGAAGAUUCUAUAGUAAAGUGGCAUACAAAAGAGGGUGCCAAAAUUGAUAACCUUCUUCAUUAUCAAUAAUUAUAUUCAGUAAGUCCAUUUCACAAAUCAUAGACAACCAAAAUAAGCCAUUGAUUUCCAUGUCUCUAUAAGCACCCUCCAAAAUGGGCUAGAAGCUGAAACACCAGAGCUCCUAGAAUCAACAGGCAGAUGCAAUAAUCUAAACCACCACAAGCGUCUCGAGCCAACUAAAAUCCCCCACUCCGCUCCCUGUCUAAAGGGAAAAUCGAAACUACUCGAAAGCCAACCAAAAAAGCUGGCAAGAAGAGAAUAACAUUACCGAUCAGACUAAUAUCUGUGAGGAUCAAGAUUAGGUUAGCAUCACUAAACAAGAAAAAAAAAACCCUAGAAUCAUGAAGAAAAUAGAAACCUAAUUCUAAGAAUCCCCAGAGAAUUGAAGGAAAAUUUUUGGGCAUAUUGACGAAAGAGGGAAGAAAACAGGAGAGAAGAGGCAAGCUUGAAAAAGAAGAGAUCGAGCCACUGAUGAUAAACGUAUCGAUAUUGGGAAAUGAAAUCAACAGGCGAUUAAAUCACCUCAAACUCCUACGCCACUCGUUGCCUAGAAGAAACAUCAAAACUACUUUUUGUUGGUAAGGAGAGAAUAACAUUAUACAUCAAAACAACAGCAGUGAAGAUCAAGAAAACCUCACAAGGUGAAAAGAAAGACAUCGUGGAAAACUGAAACCCUAAUUCUAGCAACCAACAAAGGGAUUGACGGAAAACUUUAGGCCGAUUGAGGAUCAGAAGCAUCGGUUCUGUGCCACACAAAGACGAAAAGGAGAAAAUAGGAGAGAAGAGGCAAACCUGCAGAAGAAGAGAUCAGAUUACUAUGCGUCUCGAGAAUGUUUAUUGUGCGGAGAACGGCGACAUCACAGUGAACUCGUUGACAAAGAUCUCGAACGCAGGGCCGUAAAAUCCGACCGACACCAAAUCAAGUUUCGAGAAAUCGGUUUCGGAUUACCUCAUCACAAGAUUGGUAUUGAGAUAAGAUGAUUUAGCGAAGGAAUAGAAAAUUAAGCCCUAGUGUUUGGUAAUAUGUAUUGAAAGCUU
Molecule: long non-coding RNA, 3270 nt
Filed under: Musa acuminata (dwarf banana)
Lineage: Eukaryota; Viridiplantae; Streptophyta; Magnoliopsida; Zingiberales; Musaceae
Description: long non-coding RNA (MACU_LNC000234)
Source: RNAcentral